Aphis gossypii (cotton aphid) is the source of this 1633-nucleotide long non-coding RNA. RefSeq lists it as uncharacterized. The transcript is spliced from 6 exons. The record is from RefSeq and is a predicted model, not a curated record. Lineage: Eukaryota; Metazoa; Arthropoda; Insecta; Hemiptera; Aphididae.
AUUGGAUUUUGAAUAGAUCAACCACAGAAAUACAGAAUAAAUGAAAUUGUGGUUAAGUGUUUAGUGUUUGAUCACUGAUGAAAAAUUCCUUUUUAUUAUAUUUUACCGACUUUAUUUUAUACAAAAAUGUUUAAAAAAUCAGAACAUUUUAUUAAAGUUUUCUACAUAAACCAUUUUUCUAUUAAUACAAACGUCAUUAUAAAAUAAAAAAUUACAACAACAUAAUAUACAUAAUUAACAUUUUAAUAACAUUAUAAUUUUUAACUGGAAAUAAUAUUGAUGGAAUUCACCUAAGUAUUGUUGGCUCAGAUUUAUGAUUUGAAGCUAAUCUUAAGAUUCCACGCUAUAUGGAUUCCUUGAUGUUAGGUGUGCUUUUCCCUUGUAAACUGGGCCGUCGCCGAAAGAGUAGGCGUGACGUGGACGGGUUUGCCCGGUACAACCCGUCUGUGGUUGGUUGCAACUUUUAUUAUAAGCAGUUUUGUUUGUUCGGACAUGUGCCCGUUGGACUGUACGUCAGGAGAAAUUUGGUCAGGCUGAUACAAAUUCUCACGUAUGACAUACUGAAAUGUACCAGCAAACAAGGUGAAAGUUAGGUUUAUUUUGUUUUUAUUUUAAUUUUAUUUUUUUUGUCUAUAGGCCACUGAACGAUGGGUGUUGUUUUUGUUUAACAUGAUUUUCGGUGAAUGUGAUAUGGGGACUAAUUCUUCCGACUGGUUUUCGUUAAACAACUUGUCCGUGAUUAUAGAACUGUCUCGGACACAGCCCUGGAGACUGUCCAUUUCAGGGAAUGUGUCACCUGAAGAUGUUUUGAUUCAAUUUGGUUUCAACGCACUGACGCUUAGAUCCCCAACCAAGAUGAAAUAUUCCUCAGAGGAAGAGAUAGUGUUAAGCCACCUUAUAAUGACCGGUGAUGAGGUGCUUAACACAGCACCUUAGAAUACAAGUACUUCAGUAUGAAUGACAUCAUCAAAGUCACUAGGUGCAAAGAAAUACGUGUUGGCGAUUCAGGGGCGGCAGACCACAUGCAUAAUACAUAUUAGUUUGAUUCGACAAAUGCGUGAUGUUCCGUGACGGAAAUGGAGGCAUGUUGUUUUUUUAUUUUACGAACUAUCGGAGCAUAUAGCGAAUACAUCGUAGCGCACAAAGCCUGUCGUUUACGGUGAAGGGCGACCAAAAGGUCUGCAUCCUGCGACGAGUGUCAAGCACUGUACAGAGAUCUAGGUAGGCAGAGGGAGGAUUCACAUUUGUUGGUUAACUACCAAUGCUGAGUAUACAACAUAGUAUCAAGUAUCAGUUUAUUUUAGCAUAACUAAUUAAAGUGAAGUCGAUCGUUUAAAAAACUCCCCGAACACAAUACAUGCUGCACAUGUCACUUCGAGUGAACGCAGGGUCAUAAAAAAGCCGUAAAUAUUGAACUUUUACAUGGAUUUUAUCUAGAAAAUAAUAUUUAAACAAGACUUAUGUUGACCAAAGUUGUGGUGAUAACGCAAACCACAUCAUGUGAUCAUUUACUCAACUAUUUAUUAUUCGUCGAACAGAUCAAAAAUCGUUUGCAGUAGGUUCUGCAAUUACAGACACUACACACCUCCACCAGUUGCUAAAUUUAUUUUAUAUUCAUUUGGAAUCAAGAACC